UCUCCACUAUAGGGGGAAAUUAAAUUUGGCGGGCCGGGAAUUCACCCUUUCUUGGUCAUUUUAGAGGAAGUAAAAGUCGUAACAAGGUUUUCCGUAGGUGAACCUGCGGGAAGGGAUCAUUAAUGAAUUAAAGUCGGUCUUCUGUGCUGGUGGUGACACAUGUGCACGUUAAUCGCAAAUCCACACACCUGUGCACCUUUGACUUUAGGAUCCGCUUGUUGGCUUGUCUGACUUGCAGCUGAUGUUGGUUUUGUGCUCAUCUGGAUCUUAGAGUAAUUUUACACACUCUGAAUGUAAUGGAAUGUUCCUGUGCAUAAUGCGCAAAAUACAACUUUCAACAACGGAUCUCUUGGCUCUCGCAUCGAUGAAGAACGCAGCGAAAUGUGAUAAGUAAUGUGAAUUGCAGAAUUCAGUGAAUCAUCGAAUCUUUGAACGCACCUUGCACCCUUUGGUAUUCCAAAGGGUACACCCGUUUGAGUGUCAUUGUAAUCUCACUUCAUCAGCUUUUGUUGAUGGAGGUGGACUUGGACUCUGUUGUGUCAUUACAACUGGUCUGAAAUGUGUGAGUGCACCCUGCUGUUGCAGCGUCCUCAGUGUGAUAAGCAUCUUCACUGAAUCAAGUUCCUUUGGGACACGUGUGUAAUGUGGGCUCUGUGCUGGCAAACUGUCUUUGGACAAUCUUGACAAUUUGACCUCAGAUCGAGUGGGACUACCCGCUGAACUUAAGCAUAUCAAUAAGCGGAGAAAGGGCGAAUUCGUAGCG
RNAcentral lists this ribosomal RNA (763 nucleotides) under uncultured fungus. RNAcentral describes it as "eukaryotic LSU rRNA". The stretch from base 330 to 483 matches the Rfam family "5.8S ribosomal RNA". The record is from RNAcentral. Lineage: Eukaryota; Fungi.